CCCAGACUCCUACGGGAGGCAGCAGUGAGGAAUAUUGGUCAAUGGGCGGAAGCCUGAACCAGCCAAGUCGCGUGAGGGAAUAAGGCCCUACGGGUCGUAAACCUCUUUUGCCGGGGAGCAAGGGCGGGGACGUGUCCCGGCCCGGAGAGUACCCGGAGAAAAAGCAUCGGCUAACUCCGUGCCAGCAGCCGCGGUAAUACGGAGGAUGCGAGCGUUAUCCGGAUUUAUUGGGUUUAAAGGGUGCGUAGGCGGACGCUUAAGUCAGCGGUAAAAUUGCGGGGCUCAACCUCGUCGAGCCGUUGAAACUGGGUGCCUUGAGUGGGCGAGAAGUACGCGGAAUGCGUGGUGUAGCGGUGAAAUGCAUAGAUAUCACGCAGAACUCCGAUUGCGAAGGCAGCGUACCGGCGCCCAACUGACGCUGAAGCACGAAGGCGUGGGUAUCGAACAGGAUUAGAUACCCUAGUA
Molecule: ribosomal RNA, 465 nt
Filed under: uncultured bacterium
Lineage: Bacteria
Description: bacterial SSU rRNA
Rfam family: Bacterial small subunit ribosomal RNA
Source: RNAcentral